Molecule: transfer RNA, 74 nt
Filed under: Lotharella globosa
Lineage: Eukaryota; Cercozoa; Chlorarachniophyceae
Description: partial Selenocysteine transfer RNA
Source: RNAcentral
UGGAGGCUGGUGGGACCACCCAGCGGGACUUCAAAUCCGAUUACGACGAAGAGGAGGAUACCACUGUGUUCGAU